AAGAUGGAAUUGAUUUAUGUGGUGAUUGUGCAGUAGCACAAUUAGAAGCUGAAAAACCACUGCACGAUACAUUACAUAGAUUACUUCCUAUUAA
Apis mellifera (honey bee) is the source of this 94-nucleotide non-coding RNA. Lineage: Eukaryota; Metazoa; Arthropoda; Insecta; Hymenoptera; Apidae. The record is from RefSeq and is marked provisional.